Molecule: transfer RNA, 70 nt
Filed under: Dipodomys ordii (Ord's kangaroo rat)
Lineage: Eukaryota; Metazoa; Chordata; Mammalia; Rodentia; Heteromyidae
Rfam family: tRNA
About the family: Transfer RNA (tRNA) molecules are approximately 80 nucleotides in length. Their secondary structure includes four short double-helical elements and three loops (D, anti-codon, and T loops). Further hydrogen bonds mediate the characteristic L-shaped molecular structure. tRNAs have two regions of fundamental functional importance: the anti-codon, which is responsible for specific mRNA codon recognition, and the 3' end, to which the tRNAs corresponding amino acid is attached (by aminoacyl-tRNA synthetases). tRNAs cope with the degeneracy of the genetic code in two manners: having more than one tRNA (with a specific anti-codon) for a particular amino acid; and 'wobble' base-pairing, i.e. permitting non-standard base-pairing at the 3rd anti-codon position.
Source: Rfam by way of RNAcentral
GGGAAGGUGGCUCAGUGGUAGAGUACUUGCCUUGUAUGCAUGAAGCCCUGGGUUUGAUUCCUCAGUCCCA